ACGGGGGGGCACAAGCGGUGGAGCAUGUGGUUUAAUUGAAGCAACGCGAAGAACCUUACCAGGCCUUGACAUCCAAUGAACUUCCAGAGAUGGAUGGUCCUUGGGAGCAUGAGACAGUGGCAUGGGUGUCAGUCGUGUCUUGAGAUGUUGGGUUAAGUCCCGUAACGAGCGCAACCCUUGUCUUAGUUACCACCUUGGUGGGCACUCUAAGGAGACUGCCGGUGACAAACCGGAGGAAGGUGGGGAUGACGUCAAUCAUCAUGSCCCUUAYGRCCUGGGCUACACACGUGCUACAAUGGUCGGUACAAAGGGUUGCCAAGCGCGAGGUGGAGCUAAUCCCAUAAAACCGWUCAGUCGGAUCGCGUCUGCAACUGAUGCGGAAGUCGAAUCG
Molecule: ribosomal RNA, 391 nt
Filed under: bacterium enrichment culture DGGE gel band C9
Lineage: Bacteria
Description: bacterial SSU rRNA
Rfam family: Bacterial small subunit ribosomal RNA
Source: RNAcentral